Molecule: non-coding RNA, 116 nt
Organism: Truncatella angustata
Lineage: Eukaryota; Fungi; Ascomycota; Sordariomycetes; Amphisphaeriales; Sporocadaceae
Source: the annotation of a RefSeq genome assembly
GUCUUCGUGGCUCAGUUGGUUAGAGCGUCAGUCUCAUACUCUAUACGUAUGAUUCUCUUGGUAACGAGAGGAAACCCCCUAUCUGAAGGUCGCCAGUUCGAACCUGGCCGAGGACA